This 274-nucleotide ribosomal RNA is filed under the name uncultured bacterium. Its description in RNAcentral is "partial 16S ribosomal RNA". It matches the Rfam family "Bacterial small subunit ribosomal RNA", at positions 523 to 796 of the family's 1533-position model. The record is from RNAcentral.
AUACGGAGGGGGCAAGCGUUGUUCGGAAUUACUGGGCGUAAAGAGUACGUAGGCGGAUCGUUAAGUUAGAGGUGAAAUCCCAGGGCUCAACCCUGGAACUGCCUUUAAUACUGGCGAUCUAGAGAUCGAGAGAGGUGAGUGGAAUUUCCAGUGUAGAGGUGAAAUUCGUAGAUAUUGGAAAGAACACCAGUGGCGAAGGCGGCUCACUGGCUCGAUACCGACGCUGAGGUACGAAAGCGUGGGGAGCAAACAGGAUUAGAUACCCUAGUAGUCC